This is a non-coding RNA of Drosophila suzukii, 2424 nucleotides long. NCBI's taxonomy places the organism in Eukaryota, Metazoa, Arthropoda, Insecta, Diptera, Drosophilidae. The record is from RefSeq and is a predicted model, not a curated record.
AGUGUUAACGAAAUGCAUCACUUCUUUUCCCUCUAGUUCUUCUGUUUUCCGUUUACCUUCGCGAAGCUUUGGUAGCGUCAUGCAAUAGUAUAGGUGUUAGCAUGCGACUUGAAGGUAUAGAUUAGGCUUCAAAAAUAUGAAAUGCACUCGCCUAACUUCAAAAACAGUAUCGUUAUUACCAACGUUUCAAUUGGUAACAUUUAAUUUAAAAAUCGCGCACCUGUGCGCACACAAUGCACAUUUGCGCGUUUGCACAGUUAUCCAAAAAGAGUUUCAUAGAGUCUGUGAAUAGCGUCUGAGCGUCAUGCAAGAAAGAAAAGAGCGAGCAAAAUGGAACAACUUUUGCUUAGUUUUGGCAUGAGCCAUUUGGAUAAAUAAUUAAAAGAUGAAUGAGUGACUAUGUGUUAAUAAAAAGUUGAGCUAUUUAUCCGUAAUCCCUUAAUUGAUGGGUGAUCGCGUCGAUUUCAGACUAAAAUUGUUCGAAUGGAAAGAAUGUAAAAUAGGAUUGCAAUUUUAAAAAAAUUGCCAUUCAUGAGUAUGUAUGUAAACUACGUGUUGUUAACAGAGUGCAACUAGCCUGAGGAAUCCACAAAAAGUUAUUUUUGGAGGAGUGACUCUCUCUGAAUUGCUACACAAAGCGCAUAUGGAACUGCAAUUCUGAGUUUCUGUAAAGAUCACGAUAUUCUUACUGACUCUAAGCGAGAAAAGCUAAUUCAAAUCGUGUUGGUAAACAUAUUUCUUAACAGUAAGAGCCUCGGUCCAAGUGAUUUUAGUGUUAUUUUUCGUGAAAUUCUAAACGUGUUUCUAAACGAAUAAGACCUUUCUCUUAUGGUGUCUCCCAAAAUCUGGCAACACUGGAUGCGGAUCGUGAGCUGAGAGCGAGAGCAGUUGAACGCCGACCGUGAUCCUGAACAGACGAAGUUGUAAAAUAAAAGUGAAGACUGGAAGUACGUAUAUAUAUUUGUGUUGGUGUUUAACUUUGGGGGAAUACGUUAUGCCCCUACAAAAUCAGAAUUGGGCCGAUCACGAGCCAAUUAAUUAAAACAAUAGUAUAAAAAAGAAAAUCAAAAUGGAUUUAAACAACGCGUCGAUUGAACAAUUAAAAAGGUGGUUGAGUGUAUUGAAGUUAUCAACAACCGGAACAAAGAGACAAUUGAUCUUGCGAUUAAAUAAUAUACCGAAGGAAAUUCGUGGAAAGUUUGAAGAAAUGGCGAGACAAAAAGGAGAAAAAGACGGCGACAAAAGUAAAGGCGAAGACAGCGGCGACGAGAAUUUUGAAGAUGGCGGCGGAACUAUCCAGAAAGAAGGCGGCGAAAAGUAACAGCAAAGAUUUCGACAAAAGUAACGGCAAAGACGGCGGCAUCCAGAGUUACGACGAAGAAGACGGCGACAAAAGUAACGGCAAAGACGGCGGCAUCCAGAGUUACGACAAAGAAGACGGCGAAACUAACGGCGAAGGGAAUGACGAAGUUGUUGGCAGCAUUCUCAGAAUUAGAGGCAAAUGGAACGAAAACUAUACAGAAGACGACAUGCACAACCAGGAUGGAGAGAAUUCUAGGAACGCAAAAAGCAGCGAACGUAAAGAGAAAAACGGCAACGUUGCGGUGGUGGAAAAUUGUAAUGAGAGCAUCGACGUCUCGUUGAGUAUGGCAACACAGGUGUUGAGCGAGUUUGCUGGCGAGUCGUGUGAUUUAUGGAAUAGGUGGAAAAUUUGAGAAAAUGCUAAUGGUGAGCAAAAUUAAAGGGAAAGCUUAUGAGUGGCUGUACGCAAAUUCAGACCGCGUGUUGCUACCGUUGGAUGGCUUGACUGCAGAGCUGAUUUCAACGUUUGGCGGAAAAUCAUCGAAGUUGGAGAUAAGACGCAAAUUCGAAGGUCGCAAAUGGAAACAAAGCGAACAUUUCGGGAGUUAAGUCGACGACAAGAUAAUGCUUGCUUAGGGCAUUAAUAUUGAUGCAGAUGAAAUGUUGAGCUGCAUCAAGGGCUACGUAAUCAGGCGCAUAUUCAAUGCUUUGGGGAUAUUGGGCACAUUAAAAGAGCGUUUGCGGAUGUAAGCUUGCCAAAGUCAUAUGGAGUUGGCCGGCCGACGACAUCAACGGAUCCCAGGAACAGCAAGAAGACUCGCUGUUUCAAUUGCAAUGCAAAAGGGAAUUGGGCGUACGAGUGCAGGAAGUUGAAGCGGGAGAAAGGAUCGUGCUAUGCGUGUGGUGGGAUGGGACAUUUUGUUACGAAAUGCUUGAAGAAUAAAAACAAGAAAGAGAACGAAAACAAUGAUGUAAGAUAUAUUGAAUUUAAUUUUAUAAACGAUUCUAAUACCAGGUUAAUUGCGGAAUGCCUCAUAGAUACAGGAAGUCUGAUUUCAUUUAUCAAAAUAUCUAAAGUACCAGAAAACAUUUUAAAAUUACCAGUUUUAAGUAUAUAUUAGG